GUUUUCUUAAUCUAGGGUUUUAAAAGGGAUUUAUGGGUUUUAUUUUGGAUUAAUGUUGCCGUUUAUAGGGUCAGCCCCUAAUUUCUUGUCAAUUUUUUUCAAGUAUCAAGUUUCAGGGAUUAUGGCUCGAGUAUAAGUCAGUAAUCUAGAUCUUCAAGUCAUUGGACGCAAGCUUGAGUUAAUGGUGUCCUUGGCAGAAACGUAAUUGGGUCAACUUUUGCGUGGAGAUGUCUUAAACACUUAUUUAAAGAAUGCAGUUGCUGAGAAGAUGACUUUUUUCUAUUAGAGCAAGGGUUCAGAGAUGGAGCCCACUAUUUCUGCUAAUGAGACUCUCUUUGUUUGGAAGCUCCCUUAUCUGAAUGCAAGGCUGAAAGAGGAGGAGAUCUAGAAGAAUAUUGAGGCUCGUGAGUUUCUUCAAAGUCAGAGGAGACUAAACGCUUCUUCCAGCUUCUCUUCGCGUAGUUGGGCUGCAUCUGUUUUUCAAUAUUGGAAUAGGUUAAUGGUCUCUCCUAAUCCUCAGAGGAGACUAAACACUUCUUCCAGUUUCUCUUCGCGUAGUUGGACUGCAUCUGUUUUUCAAUAUUAGAAUAGGUGCGACCUGUGGUUGAAACAGGAUAUGAAACUUUGUUGCUUGUGAGGUUGCUGUUGGAAAUCAAAAUUCCUUCCCUUCGUAAAUCUUCAGUGAGUACCAAGGCUGCAUAUUAUUCCAGCAAUAUCUUCAUAUCAUUUAUAUAAGCUCAAGCCAUUGAAUGAUAUUUGCCUUUAAUUUGGAUGAAAGUAUGAAAUUGUACCUUUUUCCUGAAAUUAUAUGACACUAAUUUGAUGAUUGAACCAACUUUGGUUGCUAAUGUGUUGCACAAUUCUUUAGUGUUGGGAUGAAAUUAUGAAAUUGCCCUGUAUUUAUGACCCUAAUUUGAUGAUUGAAUGGACUGUAAUUUGGUUGCUAAUGUGCUGCAAAACUCUUUAAUCUUGGGAUUGAGCUAUGAAAUUGCCCUAAAUUUAUGACCCUAA
This is a long non-coding RNA of Chenopodium quinoa (quinoa), 1011 nucleotides long. RefSeq lists it as uncharacterized. The transcript has 4 exons. Lineage: Eukaryota; Viridiplantae; Streptophyta; Magnoliopsida; Caryophyllales; Amaranthaceae. The record is from RefSeq and is a predicted model, not a curated record.